RNAcentral lists this ribosomal RNA (379 nucleotides) under uncultured eukaryote. RNAcentral describes it as "partial 18S ribosomal RNA". It matches the Rfam family "Eukaryotic small subunit ribosomal RNA", at positions 592 to 976 of the family's 1831-position model. The record is from RNAcentral.
CAAUAGCGUAUAUUUAAGUUGUUGCAGUUAAAAAGCUCGUAGUUGGAUUUCGGGUGUCAUCUGCCGGUCCGCCGUUUCGGUGUGCACUGGCGGGCGUCAUCUUUCUGUCGAGGACGCGCUCCUGUCCUUCACUGGUCGGGACGCGGAGUCGGCGAGGUUACUUUGAAAAAAUUAGAGUGUUCAAAGCGGGCUUACGCUUGAAUAUAUUAGCAUGGAAUAACGCUAUAGGACUCCUGUCCUGUUUUGUUGGUCUUCGGGACGGGAGUAAUGAUUAAGAGGAACAGUUGGGGGCAUUCGUAUUUCAUUGUCAGAGGUGAAAUUCUUGGAUUUAUGAAAGACGAACUUCUGCGAAAGCAUUUGCCAAGGAUGUUUUCAUUAA